Molecule: non-coding RNA, 559 nt
Organism: Poecilia reticulata (guppy)
Lineage: Eukaryota; Metazoa; Chordata; Actinopteri; Cyprinodontiformes; Poeciliidae
Source: RefSeq, a predicted model, not a curated record
GAAAAUGUUAGCUUAAUUACUUUAAGGGGAGUUCCCAGAAAAUGAAAUAAAGCUUCAAAAACACAAGAAAAAGGGUGACCAAGGAGGUAGUUAAUUUGUGUUUUUGUUGCAGAUUUGCAGUGGACUCCCAGAUGAAUGCAGGACCUUCAAGCAUCUGGAUGAACCAAACUAGUGCAGCUGCACGAUUCUCUUCCCGAUAUCUUGGCUGACAACCUCUGACCUUCCAAUCAUGUCAAACCAGAGAGCAGAGUGUUUCAGUCCUCCAUAAAGGGAUGCCGGACACGCUGACUUUGGAGAGUGAAUACUGGAAAAUCUCCUGCAGGAAAAGAAAAGCUGCGGUUUCCAAGAACCACUGGACUCUCAAAACAGUGAGUGUCAUGCGGACUUCCCUGCAGAUCACGAUCUCCUCUCUUCUGCUUCUCCGACUUCUGUAAUUCACUUCGCUUUCCCCUUCCUGAGUAAUUGAAGUAAUUUCCCACCUUGGCUAUGAUGAAUGUGUCCCGCACYGCCGCCGUGCCCUUCUACUUUAGUCGGCCUAAUUAAAGAAAACAUUCCAUGA